GACGAACGCUGGCGGCGCGCUUAACACAUGCAAGUCGAACGGAAAGGCCCUGAGUUUGUGGGGUGCACGAGUGGCGAACGGGUGAGUAACACGUGAGUAACCUGCCCUUGACUGUGGGAGACCUUCGUGAAACAGGGCCGAAUACCCGAUAGGAGCCCCCGCUCCAUGGUGGGGGUUGGAAAGAUUCGGCUGUUGGGGCUGGACUCGCCUCGUGUCAGCUUGUUGGUGGGGUGGGGUCUCACCAAGGCUUGGCCGGGUAGCCGGCCUGGGAGGGUGACCGGCCACGUUGGAACUGGACUGCGGCCCGGACCCGUCCGGUAGGCAGCAGUGCGGAAUGUUGCACAAUGCGCGGAAGCCUGCUGCAGCACCGCCGCGUGCGGGAUGACGGCCUUCUGUUUGUAAUCCGCUUUCGCCUGUGACGAGGCGAGAGUGACGGUACUUGGUAAAGAAGCACCGGCUAACUACGUG
This 468-nucleotide ribosomal RNA is filed under the name uncultured bacterium. RNAcentral's name for it is "partial 16S ribosomal RNA". It matches the Rfam family "Bacterial small subunit ribosomal RNA", at positions 28 to 507 of the family's 1533-position model. The record is from RNAcentral.